UUUCCGUAGGUGAACCUGCGGAAGGAUCAUUAAUUAUAUAAGGCCACUGGGCAAGCUUUCCGAAAGGAUCGAGCUUGCUGUGUGAACCCUACCUACCCUUGCUUUUUGCGUACCCAUUGUUUCCUCGGCAGGCUUGCCUGCCAGUAGGACCCUCUUAAACCCUUUGUAAUUGCAGUCAGCGUCAGAAACAACGUAAUCGUUACAACUUUCAACAACGGAUCUCUUGGUUCUGGCAUCGAUGAAGACGCAGC
Molecule: unclassified non-coding RNA, 251 nt
Filed under: plant metagenome
Description: partial contains small subunit ribosomal RNA, internal transcribed spacer 1, and 5.8S ribosomal RNA
Rfam family: 5.8S ribosomal RNA (bases 204-251)
Source: RNAcentral